Molecule: ribosomal RNA, 505 nt
Filed under: uncultured bacterium
Lineage: Bacteria
Description: bacterial SSU rRNA
Rfam family: Bacterial small subunit ribosomal RNA
Source: RNAcentral
UAGUCCAUGCUGUAAACGAUGGAUAUUAGAUGUUUGGGGAGUUAACCCCCUGAGUAUCAAAGCACACGCGUUAAAUAUCCCGCCUGGGGAGUACGGUCGCAAGGCUAAAACUCAAAGGAAUUGACGGGGGCCCGCACAAGCGGUGGAGUAUGUGGUUUAAUUCGAAGCAACGCGCAGAACCUUACCUACUCUUGACAUCCCAGGACGAUUGCAGAGAUGUAAUUUUCACUUCGGUGACCUGGUGACAGGUGCUGCAUGGCUGUCGCCAGCUCGUGUCGUAAGAUGUUCGGUUAAGUCCGGCAACGAGCGCAACCCUUACCAUUAGUUACCAUCAUUAAGUUGGGGACUCUAGUGGAACUGCCCGUGUUAAGCGGGAGGAAGGCGGGGAUGACGUCAAGUCCUCAUGGCCCUUACGAGUAGGGCUACACACGUACUACAAUGGCAGAGACAGAGUGUUGCGAGACCGUGAGGUUUAGCUAAUCACAAAAUACUGCCUCAGUUCAGA